GGCACAAAUGAUGAACAAUUUUGGGACUUAAUACUGAUCCUUGAUGACUGUUGUUUUCUGAUGUGC
Molecule: small nucleolar RNA, 66 nt
Organism: Rana temporaria (common frog)
Lineage: Eukaryota; Metazoa; Chordata; Amphibia; Anura; Ranidae
Product: small nucleolar RNA SNORD82
Exons: 1
Source: RefSeq, a predicted model, not a curated record